This is a long non-coding RNA of Pygocentrus nattereri (red-bellied piranha), 1168 nucleotides long. RefSeq lists it as uncharacterized. The transcript has 2 exons. Lineage: Eukaryota; Metazoa; Chordata; Actinopteri; Characiformes; Serrasalmidae. The record is from RefSeq and is a predicted model, not a curated record.
GGAACGUGAGAACACCGCCCUGUAAAGGGGCGCGACGUCACCACGCGCUACUCUCAGCCUCUUUUCUCACACAGACGUCCCUUGGUUCUAGAGUGAGGGCUGAACUGGGCCUGGCAUGGCCAGAGGAUUUUUCCCCUCUCUCAUCCAGUCCUCAGAUGGGAGUCGGCUAGCUUCUCCAAGAAGACGAGGCAAAUCAAGAGAUCAGAGAACCGUUAGCAACAGCUGAAGCCAUCUGUAAAAGGCCUCAGCCAGGAGGCUGCCCUCUGCCCUGGUAUAGUCUAAUGCACCUGGUUGAACACCUUCUGUCAAAUGACAUGUUUAUUUGAGUUUCUAAGUCAAAAUAACUUCCCUCAAUGAUUUUUUGUUGUGUUUAACACAUUGGAAUAAAAAUUUUACACAUUUUUCAAUAUGUUAAAUUUAGCAAAUAAAUGGUAGUUGUGCAUUGAAGUGUGCCGAAAUAUCUAGAGGAUGUACAUAAUAUAUCAUUUGACAUUUGAUAGUCUUCGUUUAAUCCUCUAUUGAAAGGGGAUGGGAAUGGACUGCCUUAAGUUUUUUUGAUUUUCCUCUAUCCCUAAAUGUAGGUGAUCCACCAAGUCAUGUUUGGUGUCCAAAGUUUUAUUCUUUAGUUUUGCUGUGGAGCUGCAAAGCUAAUGUGAACUCUAAAACGAUAAGUAAAGACAGCAGUUCUAUAUAAAACCAUGAACACUCAAAGAACCAUUAGCAUGCUUAAUAGUUCUUUGCAUCAUGAAAAAGCAACUGUACCAUCCAAAUACUAUGUCUGUCUCUUUUGUCCUAAUGACAACAUUCACACAAAUAGUGCAUUUCUGAGCACUCAUUGAGAGUAAUGCAGUUCUGAGAUCUCUGUUCUCAAAGUCAACUCUUUGUUACAUACAAAGCCAAAAAUCUCAGUGUCUAGAAUAUGCUAUUCUAGAAUAUCCUAUGAAUCUGCAUUCACUAAAUUUGACUUAGUCUUUACUUGCCAUAUUCUGAAGGACAAAAAAGAAGAAUUUCUUGUUGUUUUGCUCAGAACUGGAUAUAUGCUAGAUUAGAUACUAGAAAAUUAGCUCUCGUAUAACAGUUCAUAUUGUUUCUUGAUAAAAUAGUACAACCCCAAUUCCAAUGAAGUUGUGACGUUGUGUAAAACAUAAAUAAAAACAGAAUACAUGGA